GCCGCGCGCCAGAGCGCAGCUGCAUGAAGCAGACCGACAGACAGCCGGUGGAUCCGCGCGCGGUGUUUGGUAUGCGGCUGGUUGCGGCCAGUGACGACUCUCUCUCUCUCUCUCUCUCUCUCUCUCUCUCUCUCUCUCUCUCUCUCUCUCUCUCUCUCUCUCUCAGCGCUUCAGUCUGUAUGAGCAACAUCCUCGUCCUACCACGGGCUCGCGUUCUUGAGGAAUUCGUCAUCAAUGAAAGUGAAGGAAGACUAAACGGGAGAGGAGAAACGCCAGAAUGCCGGCGGGUCAGAGGAGACAGACGACUCCUUAAUGGACCCCCUCCGAAUCCUUUCGUGGCCCCAUGAGGUGUUUAAACUCUGGUUUAAAGGUUGCAGAUUCUCGGGCGGCUCUUACUUGGGAGACUGACAGCUGACAGUGGAUAAUCUCCUGACGGUUUACCCUGCAUUCCUGCCUGCUGGAGGAAAUCUCAGGUGAGCACUGUAAAACUGCAGAUUGAGGGUCCCUCUGGAUGGAACAGAUGUUACUUAUUGCAUUCAUUUAAAUUGGGCAGAAUAUUGAUGAUUACAUAUAUAUUAUUAGGAGGAAUUAAUGU
Non-coding RNA from Danio rerio (zebrafish), 595 nucleotides. The record is from RefSeq and is a predicted model, not a curated record. Lineage: Eukaryota; Metazoa; Chordata; Actinopteri; Cypriniformes; Danionidae.